AUUGAACGCUGGCGGCAUGCCUUACACAUGCAAGUCGAACGGCAGCACGGGUGCUUGCACCUGGUGGCGAGUGGCGAACGGGUGAGUAAUAUAUCGGCACGCACCUUAUUGUGGGAGAUAACGCAGCGAAAGCUGUUCUAAUACCGCAUAAUCGCUAAGGCGGAAAGCGGGGGACCGUAAGGCCUCGCGCAAUUAGAGCGGCGGAUACAUGGUUAGCUAGUUGGUGGGGUAAAGGCCUACCAAGCCGAGGAUCUGUAGCUGGUCUGAGAGGACGGGGAGGCAGACUUGGACUGAGGGACGGCCCAGAUUCCUACGGGAGGCAGCAGUGGGGACUUCUGGACGAUGGACGCAAGACUGUUCCAGCCAUGCCGAGUGCAGGAUGAAGGCCUUCGGGUUGUAAGCUGCUUUUGUACGGAACGAAAAGGUCUCUUUUAAGACAGGGAACUGAUGACGGUACCGUAAGAAUAAGCACCGGCUAACUACGUGCCAGCCGCCGCGGUAA
This 502-nucleotide ribosomal RNA is filed under the name uncultured bacterium. RNAcentral describes it as "partial 16S ribosomal RNA". It matches the Rfam family "Bacterial small subunit ribosomal RNA", at positions 30 to 523 of the family's 1533-position model. The record is from RNAcentral.